Molecule: ribosomal RNA, 169 nt
Filed under: uncultured Sphingopyxis sp.
Lineage: Bacteria; Pseudomonadati; Pseudomonadota; Alphaproteobacteria; Sphingomonadales; Sphingopyxidaceae
Description: partial 16S ribosomal RNA
Rfam family: Bacterial small subunit ribosomal RNA
Source: RNAcentral
CCUACGGAGGCAGCAGUGGGGAAUAUUGGACAAUGGGCGAAAGCCUGAUCCAGCAAUGCCGCGUGAGUGAUGAAGGCCCUAGUGUUGUAAAGCUCUUUUACCCGGGAUGAUAAUGACAGUACCGGGAGAAUAAGCUCCGGCUAACUCCGUGCCAGCAGCCGCGGUAAUA